RNAcentral lists this ribosomal RNA (253 nucleotides) under uncultured bacterium. RNAcentral's name for it is "partial 16S ribosomal RNA". It matches the Rfam family "Bacterial small subunit ribosomal RNA", at positions 524 to 776 of the family's 1533-position model. The record is from RNAcentral.
UACAGAGGUCUCAAGCGUUGUUCGGAUUCAUUGGGCGUAAAGGGUGCGUAGGCGGCGCGGUAAGUCGGGUGUGAAAUCUCGGAGCUUAACUCCGAAACUGCAUUCGAUACUGCCGUGCUUGAGGACUGGAGAGGAGACUGGAAUUUACGGUGUAGCGGUGAAAUGCGUAGAUAUCGGGAGGAACACCGGUGGCGAAGGCGGUUCUCUGGGCCUGUACUGACGCUGAGGAGCGAAAGCGUGGGGAGCAAACAGG